RNAcentral lists this ribosomal RNA (252 nucleotides) under uncultured microorganism. RNAcentral describes it as "partial 16S ribosomal RNA". It matches the Rfam family "Bacterial small subunit ribosomal RNA", at positions 524 to 776 of the family's 1533-position model. The record is from RNAcentral.
UACGUAGGGUGCGAGCGUUAAUCGGAUUUACUGGGCGUAAAGCGAGCGCAGGUGGUUUAUUAAGUCUGGUGUAAAAGGCAGUGGCUCAACCAUUGUAUGCAUUGGAAACUGGUAGACUUGAGUGCAGGAGAGGAGAGUGGAAUUCCAUGUGUAGCGGUGAAAUGCGUAGAUAUAUGGAGGAACACCGGUGGCGAAAGCGGCUCUCUGGACUGUAACUGACACUGAGGCUCGAAAGCGUGGGUAGCAAACAGG